Molecule: transfer RNA, 75 nt
Filed under: Candidatus Carsonella ruddii CE isolate Thao2000
Lineage: Bacteria; Pseudomonadati; Pseudomonadota; Gammaproteobacteria; Oceanospirillales; Halomonadaceae
Description: tRNA-Glu
Rfam family: tRNA
About the family: Transfer RNA (tRNA) molecules are approximately 80 nucleotides in length. Their secondary structure includes four short double-helical elements and three loops (D, anti-codon, and T loops).
Source: RNAcentral
GUCUCGUUCGUCUAAUGGUUAGGACCUCGCUCUUUCACGGCGGAAAUAAGGGUUCAAAUUCCUUACGAGAUAGCA